This 580-nucleotide non-coding RNA is filed under the name Beta vulgaris subsp. vulgaris (sugar beet). Its description in RNAcentral is "Bacterial large subunit ribosomal RNA". It matches the Rfam family "Bacterial large subunit ribosomal RNA", at positions 1187 to 1832 of the family's 2925-position model. The record is from Rfam by way of RNAcentral. Lineage: Eukaryota; Viridiplantae; Streptophyta; Magnoliopsida; Caryophyllales; Amaranthaceae.
CAUAUUACCGAAGCUAUGCGAUAGUAGUAAUACGAUCGGUAGGGGAGCAUUCUCACAGGGGUGAAGGUUGUGGCGUAAGCCAUGGGCUGGACUGGUGAGAAAAGCAAAUGUAGGCAUAAGUAACGAUAAUGCGGAUGAGAAAUCCGCACACCGAAAGACUAAGGAUUCCUCCGCUAUGCUAAUCAACGGAGGGUUAGGCGGGGCCUAAGGUAUCAGCCGAAGGGCGACAUCCGAUGGACAGCAGGUUAAUAUUCCUGCCCCUGCAUGCAGUGUGAAAGAGUGACGGAGUACCGUGGAUGUACGUACUGACGGAAUAGUGCGUUGAGCGAGCCUACGGGCAAAGCGAACAUCGAAGAGCUUCCAAGAAAAGCUUUUGAAACGCCAGCUGUAUGCAGCCCGUACCGUAAACCGACACAGGUAGUCGAGAAGAAUAUUCUAAGGUGCUCGAGUGAAUCACGGCUAAGGAACUCGGCAAAUUAACCCUGUAACUUCGGGAGAAGGGGAGCCUCCUCUGCAAAGAGAGGCCGCAGAGAAAUGGCCCAGGCGACUGUUUAGCAAAAACACAGGGCUCUGCCAAAAC